CACGUAGGGUGCGAGCGUUGUCCGGAAUUACUGGGCGUAAAGGGCGCGUAGGCGGCCUGUUAAGUCGAACGUGAAAUCCCCGGGCUCAACCCGGGAACUGCGUCCGAUACUGGCAGGCUUGAAUCCGGGAGAGGGAUGCGGAAUUCCAGGUGUAGCGGUGAAAUGCGUAGAUAUCUGGAGGAACACCGGUGGCGAAGGCGGCAUCCUGGACCGGCAUUGACGCUGAGGCGCGAAAGCCAGGGGAGCAAACGGG
RNAcentral lists this ribosomal RNA (253 nucleotides) under uncultured bacterium. RNAcentral's name for it is "partial 16S ribosomal RNA". It matches the Rfam family "Bacterial small subunit ribosomal RNA", at positions 524 to 776 of the family's 1533-position model. The record is from RNAcentral.